This 465-nucleotide ribosomal RNA is filed under the name uncultured bacterium. RNAcentral's name for it is "partial 16S ribosomal RNA". It matches the Rfam family "Bacterial small subunit ribosomal RNA", at positions 28 to 507 of the family's 1533-position model. The record is from RNAcentral.
GACGAACGCUGGCGGCGUGCUUAACGCAUGCAAGUCGAACGGAAAGGCCCUGCUUGCAGGGUACUCGAGUGGCGAACGGGUGAGUAACACGUGGGUGAUCUGCCCUGCACUUCGGGAUAAGCCUGGGAAACUGGGUCUAAUACCGGAUAGGAGCCAUUUUUAGUGUGAUGGUUGGAAAGUUUUUUCGGUGUAGGAUGAGCUCGCGGCCUAUCAGCUUGUUGGUGGGGUAAUGGCCUACCAAGGCGGCGACGGGUAGCCGGCCUGAGAGGGUGGACGGCCACAUUGGGACUGAGAUACGGCCCAGACUCCUACGGGAGGCAGCAGUGGGGAAUAUUGCACAAUGGGCGCAAGCCUGAUGCAGCGACGCCGCGUGGGGGAUGACGGCCUUCGGGUUGUAAACUCCUUUCGCUAGGGACGAAGCUUUUUGUGACGGUACCUAGAUAAGAAGCACCAGCUAACUACGUG